This is a non-coding RNA of Heterocephalus glaber (naked mole-rat), 997 nucleotides long. The record is from RefSeq and is a predicted model, not a curated record. Lineage: Eukaryota; Metazoa; Chordata; Mammalia; Rodentia; Bathyergidae.
ACUGCGGUACAGACGGGGGCAGCGGCGGCGGCGGCGGCUGCACCGGCGGCGGCGGCACCACACAAACAAGGACGCUGAUUGGGCAGCUGCCAAGCGCCUCGGCUCCGCCUUACUCACACGCCACGACGCCCAUUGGGCAACCUGAGCCGGCCACCCCGCCCUCCUCUUCGUGGACCUACCAAUAGAAGCCGAAAUGCGGAGGCUUCGCCCCACCCUUGAACAGGUCUCACUACGUAUAUAGUCCAGCCUGGUCUCACUUGCAGCAAUCCUCCUGCCUCAGCCUCCCAUGCGCUGGGAUUACAGAAGGCACUACCACUCCCAGCCUGCACCUCUUGUGUUAUCAGGCACUGUUCAUGUACUGGGGAGAUAGCAGUGAUGAGACGAAGCUGCCAAACACAGAGCGCACAUCCUUCUUUUCCUAAACUACUGCUUUGUCCAUCAUCAGCCCAAGCAAAUCAUCUGCCGGCUGAAAGCCAUCCUUAGGGCUUUGAGGAAACAUGAGAAAUAGUAGUGGAAGAUACCACCAGCCUGAAGAAGAUACUGCAAGACCUGAGACAGUGCCUUCCAGCGAAAUCAAACUGCGGCCUGCAAGAGGGGCUUUCGUCAGGAACACCCCAACUCUCGGGAAGACAGGCGAGGGCCACAUGGUGUGGCCACGGGCAGAGGAGACAAUAGAGGGCAAGAGGGCAGUGAGCACGCAACAACUCUGCCUGCGCAGGCCCAGUCUGCCUGCUUUCAGAAGCAUGUAUGCAUUGUAUGUGCUUAGCAUUUCAGAUGGAUUGUUUGUACAGUCUUUAUAUGACCCCCACUUAGGAGGAAAACUGAGCCGCAACUGUUAAUAACUUGUCUGCCAUCUUCAAAUUAGUAACCACAGAGAAACAACUGAACUCAUAUUUGUUACAAUUCAGUCUGGACACCUUAUUGUAAAAAUAAAUUAAGCUGGGGUGUUGGGCCUGUCCACCCCUCACACCCUCCCUUGGCCACCGGACAGGCAUCA